Molecule: ribosomal RNA, 279 nt
Filed under: uncultured bacterium
Lineage: Bacteria
Description: partial 16S ribosomal RNA
Rfam family: Bacterial small subunit ribosomal RNA
Source: RNAcentral
UGCUAUCAGCCCCGGUAAUAUGCACGCUGCGAGCGUCAAUCGGAAUUACUGGGCGCAAAGCGCGCGUAGGUGCUUUGAUAAGCUAGCUGUGAAAGCCCCGGGCUCAACCUGGGAACUGCAGUUAGAACUGUCUGGCUAGAGUAUAGUAGAGGGUGGCGGAAUUUCCUGUGGAGCGGUGAAAUGCGUAGAUAUAGGAAGGAACAUCAGUGGCGAAGGCGGCCACCUGGACUAAUACUGACACUGAGGUGCGAAAGCGUGGGGAGCAAACAGGAUUAGAUA